UACGUAGGGUGCGAGCGUUGUCCGGAAUUACUGGGCGUAAAGGGCUCGUAGGUGGUUUGUCGCGUCGUCUGUGAAAUUCCGGGGCUUAACUCCGGGCGUGCAGGCGAUACGGGCAUAACUUGAGUACUGUAGGGGUAACUGGAAUUCCUGGUGUAGCGGUGAAAUGCGCAGAUAUCAGGAGGAACACCGAUGGCGAAGGCAGGUUACUGGGCAGUUACUGACGCUGAGGA
RNAcentral lists this ribosomal RNA (230 nucleotides) under uncultured microorganism. Its description in RNAcentral is "partial 16S ribosomal RNA". It matches the Rfam family "Bacterial small subunit ribosomal RNA", at positions 524 to 752 of the family's 1533-position model. The record is from RNAcentral.